This 74-nucleotide ribosomal RNA is filed under the name Anoxybacillus sp. CHMUD. RNAcentral also lists the same sequence under 1 other name. The record is from RNAcentral. Lineage: Bacteria; Bacillati; Bacillota; Bacilli; Caryophanales; Anoxybacillaceae.
CUCGGUGACGAUGGCGGAGAGGUCACACCCGUUCCCAUCCCGAACACGGAAGUUAAGCUCUCCAGCGCCGAUGG